This is a long non-coding RNA of Varanus komodoensis (Komodo dragon), 126 nucleotides long. RefSeq lists it as uncharacterized. The transcript has 3 exons. NCBI's taxonomy places the organism in Eukaryota, Metazoa, Chordata, Lepidosauria, Squamata, Varanidae. The record is from RefSeq and is a predicted model, not a curated record.
GCAGCUCUUUACCUGCCAAAUCUGAUUCUUUCCUUGUAGAUUCUGCACUCCACAUUUCCCAGAAAAGGAAUAGUAAACUCCGUAGAGAUGCCUGGUAGAGAGAAAAAAAGAAUGGUUCGGGCUGCA